UUCCCCCAGUAACUGCGAGUGAAGAGGGAAGAGCUCAUCAUUGGAAUCUGGCAGUGUUGCACUGUCCGAGUUGUAGAUGAGGAGUAGUCCGUCUGGACUGCAUGGCGUCCAAGUACAAUAGGCCGUCAGUGGGACAUCAUAGAGGGUGACAAUCCCGUCCUUGACGCUAAUGUGCAAGUCUAUUACGAUGGCUAUCUCAGAGAGUCGAGCAGUUUGGGAUUUGCUGCUUAAACAUGGGAGGUAGAUUCCUUCUAAAGCUAAAUACAGGCGAGAGACCGAUAGAGAACAAGUACCGCAAGGGAAAGAUGAAAUAGCACUCUGUGAAGGGAGUCAAAAGGCGUGAAAUUGUUGCGAGAGAAGCGAUUCAAGUCAGCGUAGCUAGGCCCAUCAAGCGCUUCGCUUUGGACUAGCUUUGCCAGCGGUCUUGUCCCUUAAAGAGACUUGACUUGUAAUAUGUCCAGCCUGGCGUGCACAGGCAGCCCCUUCUGGGGGCCAGUGGCAUGGCUGGUGGAAUGGCUUGCAAUCGACCCGUCUUGAAACACGGACCAAGGAGUCUAACAUGUAUGCGAGUAUAAGGGUGGCAAACCCGUAUGCGCAAUGAAAGUGAUUUUCGGUGAUUGAGAAUGGCCUGAUGACCAGACAAGCAAUACAUGUCCCUCGUACGGCCAUUGCCCAAGUUCCGUGGUAGAUCCCACGAACAUGGAGUUGGAGCAUACAUGCUAGGACCCGAAAGAUGGUGAACUAUGCCUGGACAAAGCGAAGCCAAAGGAAACUCUGGUGGAGGCUUGUAGCGAUUCUGACGUGCAAAUCGAUCGUCUGAUCUGGGUAUAGGGGCGAAAGACUAAUCGAACCAU
RNAcentral lists this ribosomal RNA (854 nucleotides) under Cantharellus cibarius (golden chanterelle). RNAcentral describes it as "eukaryotic LSU rRNA". It matches the Rfam family "Eukaryotic large subunit ribosomal RNA", at positions 75 to 943 of the family's 3401-position model. Lineage: Eukaryota; Fungi; Basidiomycota; Agaricomycetes; Cantharellales; Hydnaceae. The record is from RNAcentral.